Molecule: non-coding RNA, 1960 nt
Organism: Schizosaccharomyces pombe (fission yeast)
Lineage: Eukaryota; Fungi; Ascomycota; Schizosaccharomycetes; Schizosaccharomycetales; Schizosaccharomycetaceae
Source: the annotation of a GenBank genome assembly
CAAUCAACAUUUGGGAAUUUCUUUCUCAAUACAUCGAGCAUCUCGGGGUAUACGUCAACAGCAAUAAUUUCCUUAGGAUGAGACGCGAUGAUCCUUGGUGUAAACUUGCCAGUUCCAGCACCCAGCUCUAAAAUGAUGGAAGUCUCAUCAAUUAAGAAUUCAUCAGUAAUCCAGUCGGUUAUUCCUAUAGGAUAUUCAGGCCUCGCAGCCUCAUAGUCAGCAACAUCAGUUUUAAAUGUUUUCAAGUCAAUUUGUUCAGCCAUCUUUUUAUACUUAACGAUUGUUGUUCACUAGAGUAGAGGUGGUUAAAAACAAUGAUACGACCGGUUGAUAAUUUGAGCUUAAACGCUGCGGUAUUGUGUUGUAUUGUAGUGAAUAUACCACUAAGACUAUUCUGGAUUCAAAUGGACAAUUGGUUGAUGAGUUCGCCUCGGAGAUAGCAAAUUCUUGAAAUUAUUACCUUUUAUGUUUGCAUUAAAUGAAACUUUGAUUUGAUUUAAUAGGAAAUUGGCUGACCAUCACAGGCAGACAAACAACUCUCAACAAAAAUGCUGAAUUCAAAGUUUUUGCAUUUACUACCUUUCCUUGUAAUGGUGGGAUUACGACUAAAAAUUGAAACUGGCUAAAAAAAAUUCGUUUCUAUAUUAUUUUCUCAAUCCAUCUGUUAGGCUAGUGAGACAAAAAAGGAGAAGUCUUAAUGAUGUAGUUAAUUAUAGAAAGAGGGUAAAAAAAAAGAAAAAACAAUCUAAGCAAAGCCGAUUGAGAGUGUCAUCAAUGAUAUGUAUCUCCCAAAAAAGUAUUGAUGAAAUAACGUGAAACAAUCUUAUUAAAUAUCAUUCAUAAAGCUCAUAAUUCCUUGUCAACAAAGGUAAAGGUGCAAAAGAAUCGCUACAAUGAAACUAUACCACGUAGAGUGUAUUACCACUACUCACCACAAUGAACAGUGCUCUGUAAAGUCAAAAAGGCUGAUCAGUUGAUGGGCACCUUUUCAGAGCUAUAAGCCACUGUUAGAAUAUUGAAGUCUACUUGGUCAGUAUUUUGCGCGCGAGGGAUUGUUUUGAUAAUUUCAUCGAGUUCUGCAUGCAUUUUCUCCUUCUCUUCUACUGGUAGUCUAUUAAUAGAAGAAAAGGAAUUCAUUAAUCUGUGCAAAUCUUCGAUAGAAUAUUUUUUCGCAGAAGUGAAUAAGGAUUGCUUCAGUUCAGUAAAUCCAUAGCCAGGAAAAAGUUCAGCUGCCUUUUCAAACAUGUUAAGUGGACCUCCCCGACAUUUUUCUAAAAGCUGACUACACUUUUCAACCCAUGGUACACUGUUAUCACGAAUGUUCCAAAUAAGAGCAAGUUUCCCGUUAGGCUUCAAGACGCGGUAAAUCUCCUUCAAUGCCUCUUCAUUUGCAAACCAGUGGAAGCAUUGCCCACAAGCAACCAAAUCAACGCUUUCAUCCUCGAGGGGAAUAGCCAUAGCUGAACCCACACGACAAUCAACAUUUGGGAAUUUCUUUUUUAAAACAUCAAGCAUCUCUACGUAUGUAUCGACAGCGAUAAUUUCCUUAGGUUGAGACGCUAUAAUUCUUGGCGUAAGCUUACCACUACCUGCGCCAAGCUCUAAAAUAGUAGAAGUCUCAUUAACACUGAAUUCAUCAUUUAACCAUUCCGUUAUUUGUGGUGGAUAAUCGGGUCUUGCGGUUUCGUAAUCAGCAAUAUCAGUUUUAAAUGUUCUCCCAAUCAUUACAAUUAUCGAUUCUCAAUUUUCAAAUAAAGAGUGUAAAAUCAGAUAUGAAUAUAAAUUUAGGUGUUGUUGUCGGCGACGCGUUUAUUAUAAGUUACAAUGAAUUCAAUAAAUUCGAUUUAAUAACUUUCUUAAAUCCGAUACCUGCGAAUAUAUUCGGAAAUUAUAUCAAUCAAUGGAUCUUGUCCUUGAUAGUAUAACUUGGUGCACCAUAAUGUAGUGUAGUAAAUUGCCG